Molecule: ribosomal RNA, 588 nt
Filed under: uncultured bacterium
Lineage: Bacteria
Description: partial 16S ribosomal RNA
Rfam family: Bacterial small subunit ribosomal RNA
Source: RNAcentral
UGGGGAAUAUUGGACAAUGGGCGCAAGCCUGAUCCAGCAAUGCCGCGUGUGUGAAGAAGGCCUUCGGGUUGUAAAGCACUUUUAUCAGGAGCGAAACGCUGUCGGCUAAUACCCGGCGGAACUGACGGUACCUGAGGAAUAAGCACCGGCUAACUUCGUGCCAGCAGCCGCGGUAAUACGAAGGGUGCAAGCGUUAAUCGGAAUUACUGGGCGUAAAGCGUGCGUAGGCGGUUUCUUAAGUCUGCUGUGAAGUCCCCGGGCUCAACCUGGGAAUGGCAGUGGAUACUGGGAGGCUAGAGUGUGUCAGAGGGUGGUGGAAUUCCCGGUGUAGCGGUGAAAUGCGUAGAGAUCGGGAGGAACAUCAGUGGCGAAGGCGGCCACCUGGGACAACACUGACGCUGAGGCACGAAAGCGUGGGGAGCAAACAGGAUUAGAUACCCUGGUAGUCCACGCCCUAAACGAUGCGAACUGGAUGUUGGUCUCAACUCGGAGAUCAGUGUCGAAGCUAACGCGUUAAGUUCGCCGCCUGGGGAGUACGGUCGCAAGACUGAAACUCAAAGGAAUUGACGGGGUCAUAGCUGUUUCCUG